CUGCAGGACGAGCCCUGGGAUGCUGCCUUCUGUGGUGGUCUUAGUGGCUGUAACACCGGGAGCAGAGUACAGAGUGAGGCACUGACCAAACUCCCCACUGCAUGCCACUGCUGUGACCAGAACUCUUUUCUCUUCCCCGCCUCCUUCGCCUGUGUGCCCGCGGGCCCCCUAUCUGCAACCACUGGCUCACCUCUGCAUGACAGAAGUCCUCCAGCUCCGCGUCCUCCGAGGCCUCAGAAACCUGCCAGUCGGUUAGCGAGUGCAGCUCCCCGACCUCGGACUGGACCAAGACUGGUCCCCAUGAACAGCCCUCAGCCACCACCCUGCAGCGGAGGAAGGAUCGUGUGGAACAUCUCCGUGACACUGAGACAGGCCCAGCUGGUGGAGGCACUGUGGGCUCC
RNAcentral lists this long non-coding RNA (401 nucleotides) under Rattus norvegicus (Norway rat). Its description in RNAcentral is "long non-coding RNA NONRATT014667". Lineage: Eukaryota; Metazoa; Chordata; Mammalia; Rodentia; Muridae. The record is from RNAcentral.